CGGGUGAGUAACGCGUGAGGAACCUGCCUCAAAGAGGGGGACAACAGUUGGAAACGACUGCUAAUACCGCAUAAGCCCACAGCUCGGCAUCGAGCAGAGGGAAAAGGAGUGAUCCGCUUUGAGAUGGCCUCGCGUCCGAUUAGCUAGUUGGUGAGGUAACGGCUUACCAAGGCGACGAUCAGUAGCCGACCUGAGGGGGUGACCGGCCACAUUGGGACUGAGACACGGCCCAA
Molecule: ribosomal RNA, 233 nt
Filed under: uncultured bacterium
Lineage: Bacteria
Description: partial 16S ribosomal RNA
Rfam family: Bacterial small subunit ribosomal RNA
Source: RNAcentral